CUUGGAUGAGGUUAAAUAGCAAUUCAUAUAUCUCCGUUGUGGUGUUUGCGUGAGUAAGAUGCGAUCCUAUUAGAUACCCAUGGUCACCACGUAAAACAUGCAACAACAAUUAGAGGACAUCUAACUUGUUUUUGCAGGGUAUGCUUGUGAUGUGAUAUGGCCAACGAUGUGAUGUGAUAUAUUGGAUGUAUGAGAUGAUCAUGUUGUAAUAGUUAAUAUCGACUUGCACGUCGAUGGUACGGCAACCGGCAGGAGCCAUAGGGUUGUCUUUAAACUAACGUUUGUGCUUGCAGAUGCGUUUACUAUAUUGCUAGGACGUAGCUUUAGUAGUAAUAGCAUGAGUAGCACGACAACCCCCGAUGGCGACACGUUGAUGGAGAUCAUGGUGUGACGCCGGUGACAAGAAGAUCGUGCCGGUGCUUUGGUGAUGGAGAUCAAGCAACACAUGAUGAUGGCCAUAUCAUGUCACUUAUGAAUUGCA
RNAcentral lists this long non-coding RNA (481 nucleotides) under Hordeum vulgare. RNAcentral's name for it is "long non-coding RNA (HVUL_LNC013077)". Lineage: Eukaryota; Viridiplantae; Streptophyta; Magnoliopsida; Poales; Poaceae. The record is from RNAcentral.